Pelobates cultripes (western spadefoot toad) is the source of this 372-nucleotide non-coding RNA. Lineage: Eukaryota; Metazoa; Chordata; Amphibia; Anura; Pelobatidae. The record is from the annotation of a GenBank genome assembly.
CAGCAAUUUUACACUGUUAUACAGGCUGUACACUUACUACUUUACAUUGUAGCUGAGUGUCAUUUCUUCAGUGUUGUCACAUGAAAAGAUAAAAUAAAAUAUUUACAAAAAUGUGAGGGCUGUACUCACUUUUGUGAGAUACUGUAUAUACUUCCUGAAAAAGAAGUCUAAAUGCGUUGGCUCCUAUUUUUGCAGUGCAUGUUUAAAUAAUUAGCGACUGAUGACAUAUCUCACACAGGGCUCCAUCAAUGCCGAGGGCCUCAAUAACUCCACCAAAAGAAAUGGCCUCCUCCCCUAGGCACAUAGGCUUUAAGCCAACAUAUUGUUAGUACAGGAAAUCCACUUUACUGCAACAUACCAUUUCCCUUUAUU